GAUGAACGCUGGCGGCGUGCCUAAUACAUGCAAGUCGAGCGAACGGACGAGAAGCUUGCUUCUCUGAUGUUAGCGGCGGACGGGUGAGUAACACGUGGAUAACCUACCUAUAAGACUGGGAUAACUUCGGGAAACCGGAGCUAAUACCGGAUAAUAUUUUGAACCGCAUGGUUCAAAAGUGAAAGACGGUCUUGCUGUCACUUAUAGAUGGAUCCGCGCUGCAUUAGCUAGUUGGUAAGGUAACGGCUUACCAAGGCAACGAUGCAUAGCCGACCUGAGAGGGUGAUCGGCCACACUGGAACUGAGACACGGUCCAGACUCCUACGGGAGGCAGCAGUAGGGAAUCUUCCGCAAUGGGCGAAAGCCUGACGGAGCAACGCCGCGUGAGUGAUGAAGGUCUUCGGAUCGUAAAACUCUGUUAUUAGGGAAGAACAUAUGUGUAAGUAACUGUGCACAUCUUGACGGUACCUAAUCAGAAAGCCACGGCUAACUACGUGCCAGCAGCCGCGGUAAUACGUAGGUGGCAAGCGUUAUCCGGAAUUAUUGGGCGUAAAGCGCGCGUAGGCGGUUUUUUAAGUCUGAUGUGAAAGCCCACGGCUCAACCGUGGAGGGUCAUUGGAAACUGGAAAACUUGAGUGCAGAAGAGGAAAGUGGAAUUCCAUGUGUAGCGGUGAAAUGCGCAGAGAUAUGGAGGAACACCAGUGGCGAAGGCGACUUUCUGGUCUGUAACUGACGCUGAUGUGCGAAAGCGUGGGGAUCAAACAGGAUUAGAUACCCUGGUAGUCCACGCCGUAAACGAUGAGUGCUAAGUGUUAGGGGGUUUCCGCCCCUUAGUGCUGCAGCUAACGCAUUAAGCACUCCGCCUGGGGAGUACGACCGCAAGGUUGAAACUCAAAGGAAUUGACGGGGACCCGCACAAGCGGUGGAGCAUGUGGUUUAAUUCGAAGCAACGCGAAGAACCUUACCAAAUCUUGACAUCCUUUGACGACUCUAGAGAUAGAGCCUUCCCCUUCGGGGGACAAAGUGACAGGUGGUGCAUGGUUGUCGUCAGCUCGUGUCGUGAGAUGUUGGGUUAAGUCCCGCAACGAGCGCAACCCUUAAGCUUAGUUGCCAUCAUUAAGUUGGGCACUCUAAGUUGACUGCCGGUGACAAACCGGAGGAAGGUGGGGAUGACGUCAAAUCAUCAUGCCCCUUAUGAUUUGGGCUACACACGUGCUACAAUGGACAAUACAAAGGGCAGCGAAACCGCGAGGUCAAGCAAAUCCCAUAAAGUUGUUCUCAGUUCGGAUUGUAGUCUGCAACUCGACUACAUGAAGCUGGAAUCGCUAGUAAUCGUAGAUCAGCAUGCUACGGUGAAUAAGGUCCCGGGUCU
RNAcentral lists this ribosomal RNA (1372 nucleotides) under uncultured bacterium. Its description in RNAcentral is "bacterial SSU rRNA". It matches the Rfam family "Bacterial small subunit ribosomal RNA", at positions 28 to 1381 of the family's 1533-position model. The record is from RNAcentral.